Molecule: long non-coding RNA, 3992 nt
Organism: Cavia porcellus (domestic guinea pig)
Lineage: Eukaryota; Metazoa; Chordata; Mammalia; Rodentia; Caviidae
Exons: 2
Source: RefSeq, a predicted model, not a curated record
UGUCUACAAGUCCCCCAAAGCCUCGGGCAGUCAUGGUGGGGCUUUCAGAGGCGGCUGGGUCUGCAGUGUGAUGCUGGGAUCAAGGCUGUGUGCUUACUGACUCAGCCCACUGACUGGCUGGCACAGCGCUGGGUGUGGACAACAGGAAGUCACCUAGAGGAAGGAUGAAAGGGACAGGCAGUGGCAGCUGCUUCACCGCCCUGCGGCCUGCCCUGCCGUGGGCUGUUCCCCCUCUGCAGCGUCCCUCUGCCAGGCCACCCUGCCUCGGAGCCGGUCGACUCUGCACGGAAACCUCUGCACACUGUGAGCUGCACUAGUCCGGCCCUCUUUAACUUUCAGGAUAAUCAGCAGUGUGCCUCAGCAACAAGAAAACGAAGCCCGAGACGCUCCCCAAUCCCAGCCACAGUCUCUGGCACGCUACUCUCCGUCUCCACAAAUCUGGCCGCUGUGUGUCGCUCCCGUGAGAGGGAUCACACACUCUCUGCCCACCCAGCUUCAUUUAGUGUAAUGUCCUCCCGAUGCGUCCACGCUGAGGCCUGAAGAACCAUCUCUCUUCUGAAGAGUAAAUAAUACUCCACUCACUGUGCCUUUCUGCUACACUGCACGCACCCAUCCAUCUCUAGGACAGUAUCAUCAAACCAUGAGCCCAGGUGAACGUGAGGGCCCCUCCUCCUCCUCAUAAUCACCCCCAAAGAGUCGGGGCACCGUGCAGAGCUCGGCACACUCUUGGUUUCUCACGGUCACCCAGGAAUGGAAUGCAGGGGGGCACCAGAGACCGCGCCGGCCUGGCCAUCUGCAGCAAGCGGCCUUUUGUGCUUUAUUUGUUUCUUUUCUUCUCACUGCCAGGGACCCACAGUUUUGUAAAAUACAUUAAAAUGACAACAUGGUAGAAUAAAAUUUAAAAGACAAAAAAAUGAAAGCAUUUGGCCAUUAAAAAAAGUUAGACUCAGCAGACACAAAAUUACUGGGAAAACUGCUAAAAUGCUUCCAAGUGUUCCCGGUUUCUGCUCUGCCCUGUUACAGACCCACAGCUCGGGGCUGGCACAGCGACCCGACCCGCAGCUGUGUUCUGAGCCACGAGAAGCGCAGCCACUAAGUGACCACAGCGAGGCCCCCCAGCAUACUCUGCUGCCCAUGGCAGGGUCUGGCUGUAAGAAUCAACGAAGCCAAGGAGUCAGCAGCUCUGCUCCUCAGUGCCGCCCCAAGGCAGUGGAACAGCAUGUUCCCAUAAAACCGGCCGGGAACGUUCGUGGCAGUAAAUGGGAUGUCAGGGUGUGCACAGCCGGAGAAGCGACUACCAGACCGCGGCGCUCCACAGGAGACCAGGAGGAAGGGCUGACGCACGCGGCCACGUGGAUGAACCUGGACCAGGUAACACUAUGGAAAAGAAGCCGGUAUGAAGCUCAGACUCCGCACAACUGUGGCUGCGUGAAAGGUUCGGCAUGCACAGAAGCAGGAAGGGCUGAGCAACGGUGUCUGAGGCCAGAAGACGCCAGGACGAUGGGUAACGGGAGACAGUCUCUCUGUGGGGUGGUGGGACACUCCAAAGCCCUGAGGGGUAUGGAAAAUCCUGGGCCCUGUGUGGCUUGGAGGUGGAGCAUAUGUGCAGCCGGUUCCAUCCCCUCAGCCCACUGCUUGGAUUAUUUAAUGUUAUGCUUUGUUGUUUGUUUUUGUCUUUUUGAGAUUAUUUUGUAGCCCAGGUUGAUCUCAAAUUUGUAACAAUCGCCCUGCCUCAGCCUCCCAAGUGCUGGGAUUACAGCCAUGUGCCACCAUACCUGGCUAAUUUUAAAUAGACGAACCGUAAGGCACAUUAACUGUAUCUCAAUAAAGCUGCUAUGAAAAAUGAAGCAGUGGCCAGGGAUGUAGCUCAGUGGCACAAGCACCUGCCUGGCAGGCACAAGGUCAUGAGUUCAAUCCCUGGUACCAAAAAGUAAAAAAAUAAAUAAAUAAUGAAGCCACAUUCUGAGGCUGUUAAAAUGACUGAAUUACUUAUGUAAAGCCUAAAGAAAAUUCUAGACCUGGGUGAAUUCUUUCAGGUACGAAAAAAGCAACACUCGAGUUUAACACAACGGUCUCCAAAACACAGAAACUAAUUCCCAGCUUGUUUCAUGAUUACAACCUUGACCCCAAGACCUGGCACCAGAAGAAAGGGCAUCAGACCACCUCCCCACAGAGACAGUUCAGUCUCCCAACAAAAUCUUAGCAAACGGGACACAGCGACAACACACGGCGCAGCAGGCCAGGGCUGUCCCAGGAACGCAAGGUGCAAGGUGCUGCCCGCCAGCUGGGCCGGAGGAGGAAAGCAUGUGCCAUCUGGGAGGCACGGGUUGUAACUUUAGGGGCUGCUCACUGUUUACCCCAAGCUCAGCUACGAAACCAGGACACCUGCGCUCGCCAGUGAGCUGAGCCCUCUCCAAGGUCCCUGCCAGAACCCGGAGCCAAGGAAAGAAACAAGGCUUAGGAGGCUGGCACGGGACAAGGGGAGCUCUAUUUAUAGACCUGGGCCAGAAAAUACAUGGAAAAUCUAGAGGCCAUUAAGCCCUGAGGAUUAAUAGUGAGCGCAGCAAGGUCUCAGGAUGCAAGAAGAAUAAGCAAAGUCCCCCACAGCUCAGAAGGCGAAUUUUACACAGAAAUAAAGCGUUACUUAAAAUAGCACCAAGGGUAAAUGCCUAACCGUAAAUCCCAUGGGACACACGAGCCCCACCCCCACCCCACACAGAGUGCUACAAGGCAACCUCAGAGAAAGACUCGGGCCCCAGAGUGGCAGACCCUGCCCGGGUAUCCACGCCCGGCUCUGUCCACUGUCGCUCCUUCUCGGCAUGUAUUCACGUUCAGAGAAUCUCAGCAGGCUUCUUUAAGUUUUGUUUUAUUGUUAUUGUUAUUUUUUAGAAACUGGUAAAGUGAUCCUAAAACAUAUACAGAGGGCAGGCAUUAUGACGCAUACCUGUAAUCCUAGCUAUUCCGGAGGCUGAGGCAGGAAGAUUGCAGGUUCAAGGCCAGCUUGGGCAGCUCAGUGAGCCCCUGUCUCAAAAACAAAACAAAACAAAAAAAGGCUGAGGCUGUGGAGCGCUUCCCUAGCAUGUGCCAGGCUCUGGCUCUAACUCCAAACACCAGUGUUUAAAUAAAAAUUCAGAAAUGCAAUGCAAAUGGCCAAGGACAGCCAAAGGAAUCUUUAAGAGCAAAACACAAUUGGAUCUCCACAUUUACUAUGAGUUUUUCUUAAUUGAAAUAAGGUGGCGUUGGCACAUGGAUGGAAAAGGAAGUCCAGAAAAAGAUCUGAAAUGACUAAAAGAAACAAGAAAAAAGAAAAAGUCAAGUUCUGGGAGGCUGCGAGAGACAGGAACCUGGACGCUUGGUGAGACCGCCACCCGCCUAAGGAAACCAUUUGGUGCCGUUUACUAAACUUUUAACGUGUCUCAAGCCCAGAAAUUCCAUUGUGAGGCAUAAACAUGACAAAAGUAAACAUAUAUCUUCCCGGCAAGACACACACAAGACUGCCCACAGUAUCACCCCUAGUAGCCAGAAACGGACACUACCCAAACAUCAGGCAACAGCACACCAAAAACGGUAAAUAAACACAUCAGUGAGCCACCCACAACUCCACACAGCAGCAUGGACGGAUCGGACCAACAGAGCGGGACCACGGAUGCAGGGGACUCCGUGGCAGGCGCUCCCAAGCCUACGGAGCCGGAAGCAGGCCACGCUGUGACGGAUGGGAGCCCCGCUGUCCUGGGGCACGGGGGAGGCAGUCAUGUGCAACUUCCAGAAGUGGACAGGUUGUCUUGCUCUGUAGUCCAGGCUGGCCUUGAACUCAUGGUAAUCCUCCUGCCUCAGCCUCCUGACUGCUGAAACGCAGAACUGGGAUCCUUUUAUGAAGUGCGCCAAGGACAUUUUAGUGCCUCUCUCCCUGCCUCAUGUUAAGAAUACUUUGUAUCAAAACAGAACUUGCCACAGGCAAUGACACAUAGUAAAUUUGCAGCUUUUAAGAAGUA